This 2178-nucleotide ribosomal RNA is filed under the name Triticum aestivum (bread wheat). Its description in RNAcentral is "partial small subunit ribosomal RNA". Lineage: Eukaryota; Viridiplantae; Streptophyta; Magnoliopsida; Poales; Poaceae. The record is from RNAcentral.
AUGCUUGAAAUGGUACAACUGAGCAAGAACUUCUUUUCCGGAGUAAUACCAAAAUGCCUUGGAGCUACCAUGAAGAGCUUAUCGGCACUGCUUCUCUCACAUAACCAGCUAGAGGCAAGGAAUGAUGCCGAUUGGGAUUUCAUUUCUAGCUUGACAAACUGUAGUAUGCUACAGUACCUAUCUCUUGGCCAUAACAAACUACAAGGGGUGAUACCAAAUUCAAUGGCAAACCUUUCCACAAACUUGAGAUAUUUCAGCGUGUCAGGCAACAUGCUACGGGGAAGUAUACCUGAAGGAAUUGGAAACCUUGUCAACUUGCAACACUUGCAGGUGGAUGGUAAUUUCCUAGAUGGAAAAAUUCCUGAAUCGAUUGGCAAUCUUAGGAUCCUGGCUGAAUUAUACUUGUCAAACAAUGGUUUAUCUGGACCAAUUCCACCAAUGCUUGGAAAUCUCACAGCAUUAAUUACACUCGACCUCAGCCAAAAUGUGCUUGCCUGUCCCAUACCAUCCAGCCUUGGAAGCUGCCCUGUGGACACAUUGAGCCUAGCAUUCAAUCAGCUUGUUGGUUCAAUACCAAAAGAGAUUUUCCUCAUAUCGACACUAUCUGAUUCCAUGCAGCUCCAAGGCAAUAAGUUAACUGGGACAAUUCCUCCAGAAGUUAGUAAUCUAGUGAAUCUCGGAUAUCUGGAUGUGUCUGACAACAUGAUAACUGGCUCAGUUCCUGCCUCUCUAGCUCAGUGUGGAAGUUUGCAGUAUCUCAUUAUGGAAGGAAACCUACUUCAGGGCACAAUUCCAGAAUCAAUGUCACAGAUGAAAGGGCUUCUAGUUCUUGAUGUUUCAAGAAACAACUUGUCUGGGGACAUCCCAGUCUUCCUUGGGGACAUGCGGGGGCUCGCUACCCUGAACAUAUCAUUCAACAAUUUUGAGGGUGAAGUUCCAAAACAUGGAUUAUUUCUGAAUGCAAGUGCAACUCUUAUUGAAGGGAACUAUGGCUUAUGUGGAGGUAUCCCCCAAUUUAACUUGCAUCCCUGCUCAAAUCAUACAUCCAAGAAGUGGUCUCACAAGCUUGUCGUGUUGAUCCCAGUAGGCAGUGCACUUCUUUGCAUUAUCUUAGUACUAAUUGUACUAUUUGCACAACAGAAAUUGAGAAACAAGUUUACAAAGAUUAGAAGGGUUCCAUCGCUCCAUAGUGGACAACAUCUGAGGGUUACCUAUGCUGAAUUAGUGAGAGCAACAAGUGGUUUUGCUUCUGAGAACCUCUUAGGCACAGGAAGCUUCGGCUCCGUGUACAAAGGAACAACGAUGAAUGGAGAUCAGGAAGUGAUUGUCGCUAUCAAGGUGCUCAACCUCCAGCAGCGAGGGGCAUCUCAAAGCUUUGUUGCAGAAUGUGAGACUUUAAGAUGCAUCAGACAUCGAAACCUUGUGAAGAUAUUGACCGUCUGCUCAAGUAUUGAUUUCAGGGGUCUAGACUUCAAAGCUCUCGUAUUUGAGUUCAUGCCGAAUGGAGAUCUUGAUCAAUGGCUACACAGCCAUCUCCUGGAAGAUGGGAGCCAUGGCGUGCUCAAUCUUACCCAAAGGAUAGACAUUGCCAUUGAUGUAGGUUCAGCGCUCGAAUACCUUCACCACAAUAAGCCAGUGCCAAUAGUUCAUUGUGAUCUUAAGCCAAGCAAUAUUCUCCUCGAUAAUGACAUGGUUGCCCAUGUGGGUGACUUUGGACUCGCAAGGUUCUUGCAGCAGGAUGAUACUAGCCUCCCAGAAAUAUCAAGUGGUUGGGCUACAAGAAGGGGAACAAUUGGAUAUGCUGCCCCAGAGUACGGUCAAGCAAAUGAAGUCUCGGUCUAUGGCGAUACAUAUAGCUAUGGAAUACUGUUGUUAGAGUUGUUCACUGGCAAAAGGCCAACUGAUGGUGAGUUUCUGCAAGAUCUAAACCUACAUAGUUACGCCGAGGUAGCACUGAGAGACCAAGCCGCCAACCUGGUCGAUCUGUGCUUAUUAUCUUCACUGGAGGAAGGGACAACCAUGAGAGCCGCAUGCAUCACUUCAGUUCUGCAAAUUGGGAUAUUAUGUUCAAAGGAACUGCCAACUGAUCGUAUGCAGAUUGGGGAUGCUACGAGAGAGCUACUGGCGAUCAGAGACAAGUAUCGCACACACCUAUUGAGUGAAGGUGGGUCCAUCUAA